Molecule: ribosomal RNA, 3291 nt
Filed under: Triticum aestivum (bread wheat)
Lineage: Eukaryota; Viridiplantae; Streptophyta; Magnoliopsida; Poales; Poaceae
Description: partial small subunit ribosomal RNA
Source: RNAcentral
AUGAUCGAGACACGCGAGUUCUCCAUCACGGCUUGCUUCUCGCCCGUGGAUGGAGGGGAUCUGUGGUCUUUGACUACUGUCUAUGGGCCGCAUGAUGAGCCUAGGAAGCAGGCAUUCCUUGUUGAACUUGCGCUGAUUCAUAAUGCAGUCCUCGGCCCCUGGCUGCUAAUAGGCGACUUCAACCUGAUCAAAGACCCGCAAGACAAAAACAAUAAUCGCACCUGCCGGCGUUGGAUGAAUCGUUUCCGCCGCACCCUUAAUAGAUCAAGCCUGCACGAAAUCCCCCUAGUUGGUCGCAAGUACACAUGGAGUAAUGAGCAGCAAGUGCCCACCCUUGUUCGUCUAGAUCGUGCCUUCUGUAACGUUGAGUGGGAGCUGCUCUUCUCGGCCGCCAAACUCCUGCCGCUUGCCUCUGCCAUCUCCGACCACUGUCCGCUGAUGUUGGUAAAUGAGGGCAUCAUUGCUACCAACCGCCGAUUCCGCUACGAGAGCUAUUGGCAGUUCAUCGCGGGUUUUCACGAGGUAGUACAGCUGGCCUGGGCGGAAGGAACUGGUGGCAGAUGCCCGAUUUCGCGCCUGAACAUGAAGCUUUGGCGCACUAGCAAAGCGCUGAGAAACUGGAGCAGAACGCACAUCGGAGAUCUGCAAAAACAGCUGGCCAUUGCUAAUGAGUUAAUUCUCCAGCUUGAGGUUGCGCAAGAGUCGCGCCAGCUAACGAUUGUUGAACAGGACCUGCGGCAUACGCUUAAAUCCAGAACGAUGGGCUUGGCGGUCUUGCUUAAGAUCAAGCGCCGUCAACGGAGCCGUGUGCUUUGGCUCAAGGCUGGAGACGCCAAUACAAAGUUCUUCCAGCGGAAGGCGAAUGCUCGGCAUAAGCGGAAUAUUAUCCACAUCCUCCAUGGCCCAGGAGGCGCGGUAUCCUCUGCGGAUGGAAUGUUACAGCUAGCCCAUGGCUAUUUCACUGAUGUCUUUGGGACGGCCCAAACGACCCCGACCACGUUCAACUGGGACGAGCUGGACCUUGAUCAGGUUGAUAUGCAUGACAUAGAAGGGGAAUUCACCCUCCAAGAGGUCAAAGCUGCAAUUAAUGACACACCUGCGGAUAAGGCGCCCGGCCCGGAUGGCUUUUCGGGAGGUUUCUUCAGAACAUGCUGGGAGAUAAUUAAGCUUGACCUGCUCGCGGCGCUCAAUCAACUCUAUCACAUGGACAGCACCGGUCUGGUUAGGAUCAACAAAGCUCUGCUUGUCCUUUUGCCUAAGAAAUUAGGUGCAGAUAGAUUGCAGGACUUCCGGCCGAUCUCUCUCGUACACAGCCUGAUUAAAAUAUUCACUAAGAUUUUAGCCAGAAGACUUGCGCCGAAACUGAGUCAGCUUGUUGACCCUUGCCAGGCUGCUUUCAUCAAACAUCGCAGCAUCCAGGAAAAUUUUCUAUAUGUCCAGAACACUGCAAGGUUCUUCCACAAAAGCAAGAAGGCGGCCGUCUUGCUAAAGCUUGAUAUCGCUAAAGCAUUUGACUCUGUGUCUUGGACCUAUCUGUUGGAUAUGCUCAGAGCAAGGGGAUUUAGCGUCAGAUGGAGGGAGUGGAUUGCCAUGCUCCUUCGAACCUCUUCAUCACGUGUCUUGAUCAACGGAGCCUUAUCAGACUCAAUUUCCCAUCGGCAAGGGCUGCGGCAGGGUGACCCCAUUUCGCCAUUCCUCUUUGUACUUGCCAUGGACCCCCUGCAGCGAAUCAUGAGCCUAGCCACUGAACGAGGUCUCCUGUCGAAGCUCCCCGGGCGCCGUUCGGUGAUGCGCUGCUCGUUCUACGCGGACGAUGUUGUCCUGUUUCUGAAGCCGUCUGCGUCCGACGCCAACAUGAUAAAGCUGCUGCUCACGUUCUUCGGGAGUGUCACUGGCCUCCACACGAACAUAUCCAAGAGCUCGGCCAUGCCCAUUCGAUGUGAAAAUCUAGACCUACAGCAGCUACUGCAGCCGCUUGGGGUGGUGGUGAAGCACUUUCCGUGCACUUACCUUGGCAUGCCGCUCUCCUUGCGGGCUCUCAAGAAAGUGGACCUUGAGCCUUGGCUACUGAAGUUUGGUGACAAAACUGCUUGCUGGAAGGGAAGCAUGAUGGCCAAGAGUGGAAGGCUAGUGCUGCUUAAAUCAACACUGAUCUCCCUUGCUAUCUACUUGAUGACUGUGCACAAGCUGCCCGUGUGGAUUCGGAAGCAAGUCGUCCAGCUUUGCACGGCGUGGUUAUGGAGUGGGGAGACGUCGUGCAAUGGAGGAAAAUGCAGAGUCAGUUGGGCACUACUGGCACGGCCGAAGCACCUUGGGGGCCUGGGUGUCUUUGAUAUACAGAAAUUCGGGCGAGCACUCCGCCUUCGAUGGCUCUGGAUGUCCUGGCAACAACCGGAGAGGCCUUGGGUUGGUCUGGACUUGCCUUGCGACAAAUCUGACAGGGCGCUAUUCUCCAUGGCGACAUCGAUCACAGUAAGUGAUGGCAGACUUGCAAGCUUUUGGCAUGACCGAUGGUUGCAAGGCUUAUGUCCAAAAACAAUUGCUCCAAACCUGUUCAGAGUCUCCAUCAGAAAGAAUCGCUCGGUCAGAGAAGCUCUGCAUGAGGAUAGGUGGAUGCUAGACCUAGCGCAUGGCCUCACGGUACAGAUGGAGGGUGAGUUGACACGACUAGCCGGUUUGCUUGACUUGGUGACUCUGGUCGAUGGUACCCCUGACAAGAUUGUAUGGAGGUUCAACUCAAGCCAAGAAUACACUACCAAAUCUGCCUACCAACUCCAGUUCCUGGGAUCAGUGCAACCGGAGGCCACUGCGCUGAUGUGGAAGGGUUGGGCGCCUGCUAAGUGUCGUUUCUUCCUCUGGACGGCAUCUCUGGGCCGCAUCCUAACAGCCAACCUGCUUAUUCGCCGCGGCUGGGAGAACAACUACUUUUGUGCGCUAUGUGAGCGCAACCUGGAAACGGCUUUUCACCUGCUGGUCGAAUGCCCAUGGGCGAAGCAGAGCUGGGAGGGCUUGGCUGGUCUUGCUAGCAUGCCUGCACUGCUGCCUACGGGCUGGGCGCAUGUAACUAGCAUCAACGAGUGGAUGCUCACCUGCUGCACGAAGGUCGGACCAGCAAAACGCAAAGGGGCACUGUCUCUAGUGAACCUAGUCUCCUGGGAGCUUUGGGGUGAAUGCAACAGGCGCGUUUUUGAGGACAAAAGGUUGGAGGUGCGCUCUUUUCUGCUGCGUGUGAAGGAAGAGAUCAUUCUUUGGAAUCUGGCAGGAGCUGGGAUCCCAUUCGACCCAGGCUGA